AGUGAACGCUGGCGGUAGGCCUAACACAUGCAAGUCGAACGGCAGCACAGUAAGAGCUUGCUCUUACGGGUGGCGAGUGGCGGACGGGUGAGGAAUACAUCGGAAUCUACUUUUUCGUGGGGGAUAACGUAGGGAAACUUACGCUAAUACCGCAUACGACCUACGGGUGAAAGCAGGGGAUCUUCGGACCUUGCGCGCUUGAAUGAGCCGAUGUCGGAUUAGAUAGUUGGCGGGGUAAAGGCCCACCAAGGCGAAGAUACGUAGCUGGUCUGACAGGGUGAGGGGCCACAUUGGGAAGGAGACAGGGCACAAACUCCUACGGGAGGCAGCAGUAGGGAAGCUUCGGCAAUGGACGAAAGUCUGACCGAGCAACGACGCGGGAGUGAAGAAGGGUUUCGGAUCGUAAAACUCUGUUGGUAGAGAAGAAAGAUGGUGAGAGUGGAAAGCUCAUCAAGUGACGGUAACUACCCAGAAAGGGACGGCUAACUACGUG
RNAcentral lists this ribosomal RNA (493 nucleotides) under uncultured bacterium. Its description in RNAcentral is "partial 16S ribosomal RNA". It matches the Rfam family "Bacterial small subunit ribosomal RNA", at positions 29 to 507 of the family's 1533-position model. The record is from RNAcentral.